Molecule: ribosomal RNA, 254 nt
Filed under: uncultured bacterium
Lineage: Bacteria
Description: partial 16S ribosomal RNA
Rfam family: Bacterial small subunit ribosomal RNA
Source: RNAcentral
UACAGAGGGUGCAAGCGUUGUUCGGAUUUACUGGGCGUAAAGGGCGCGUAGGCGGCAAUUCAAGUCAUCUGUGAAAUCUCCGGGCUUAACCCGGAACGGUCAGGUGAUACUGUUUUGCUAGAGUGCGGAAGGGGCAAUCGGAAUUCUCGGUGUAGCGGUGAAAUGCGUAGAUAUCGAGAGGAACACCAGAGGUGAAGACGGGUUGCUGGGCCGACACUGACGCUGACAGCGCGAAAGCCAGGGGAGCAAACGGG